GACGAACGCUGGCGGCGUGCUUAACACAUGCAAGUCGAACGGAAAGGCCCUGCUUUUGUGGGGUGCUCGAGUGGCGAACGGGUGAGUAACACGUGAGUAACCUGCCCUUGACUUUGGGAUAACUUCAGGGAACUGGGGCUAAUACCGGAUAGGAGCUCCUGCUGCAUGGUGGGGGUUGGAAAGUUUCGGCGGUUGGGGAUGGACUCGCGGCUUAUCAGCUUGUUGGUGGGGUAGUGGCUUACCAAGGCUUUGACGGGUAGCCGGCCUGAGAGGGUGACCGGCCACAUUGGGACUGAGAUACGGCCCAGACUCCUACGGGAGGCAGCAGUGGGGAAUAUUGCACAAUGGGCGGAAGCCUGAUGCAGCAACGCCGCGUGCGGGAUGACGGCCUUCGGGUUGUAAACCGCUUUCGCCUGUGACGAAGCGUGAGUGACGGUAAUGGGUAAAGAAGCACCGGCUAACUACGUGCCAGCAGCCGCGGUGAUACGUAGGGUGCGAGCGUUGUCCGGAUUUAUUGGGCGUAAAGGGCUCGUAGGUGGUUGAUCGCGUCGGAAGUGUAAUCUUGGGGCUUAACCCUGAGCGUGCUUUCGAUACGGGUUGACUUGAGGAAGGUAGGGGAGAAUGGAAUUCCUGGUGGAGCGGUGGAAUGCGCAGAUAUCAGGAGGAACACCAGUGGCGAAGGCGGUUCUCUGGGCCUUUCCUGACGCUGAGGAGCGAAAGCGUGGGGAGCGAACAGGCUUAGAUACCCUGGUAGUCCACGCUGUAAACGGUGGGUACUAGGUGUGGGGUCCAUUCCACGGGUUCCGUGCCGUAGCUAACGCUUUAAGUACCCCGCCUGGGGAGUACGGCCGCAAGGCUAAAACUCAAAGGAAUUGACGGGGCCCCGCACAAGCGGCGGAGCAUGCGGAUUAAUUCGAUGCAACGCGUAGAACCUUACCUGGGUUUGACAUGGAUCGGGAGCGCUCAGAGAUGGGUGUGCCUCUUUUGGGGUCGGUUCACAGGUGGUGCAUGGCUGUCGUCAGCUCGUGUCGUGAGAUGUUGGGUUAAGUCCCGCAACGAGCGCAACCCUUGUUCACUGUUGCCAGCACGUUAUGGUGGGGACUCAGUGGAGACCGCCGGGGUCAACUCGGAGGAAGGUGGGGAUGACGUCAAGUCAUCAUGCCCCUUAUGUCCAGGGCUUCACGCAUGCUACAAUGGCUGGUACAGAGAGUGGCGAGCCUGUGAGGGUGAGCGAAUCUCGGAAAGCCGGUCUCAGUUCGGAUUGGGGUCUGCAACUCGACCUCAUGAAGUCGGAGUCGCUAGUAAUCGCAGAUCAGCAACGCUGCGGUGAAUACGUUCCCGGGGCU
RNAcentral lists this ribosomal RNA (1346 nucleotides) under uncultured bacterium. RNAcentral's name for it is "bacterial SSU rRNA". It matches the Rfam family "Bacterial small subunit ribosomal RNA", at positions 28 to 1381 of the family's 1533-position model. The record is from RNAcentral.